This 82-nucleotide transfer RNA is filed under the name Natronoflexus pectinivorans. RNAcentral describes it as "tRNA-OTHER". It matches the Rfam family "tRNA". From Rfam's summary of the family: Transfer RNA (tRNA) molecules are approximately 80 nucleotides in length. Their secondary structure includes four short double-helical elements and three loops (D, anti-codon, and T loops). Further hydrogen bonds mediate the characteristic L-shaped molecular structure. tRNAs have two regions of fundamental functional importance: the anti-codon, which is responsible for specific mRNA codon recognition, and the 3' end, to which the tRNAs corresponding amino acid is attached (by aminoacyl-tRNA synthetases). tRNAs cope with the degeneracy of the genetic code in two manners: having more than one tRNA (with a specific anti-codon) for a particular amino acid; and 'wobble' base-pairing, i.e. permitting non-standard base-pairing at the 3rd anti-codon position. The record is from RNAcentral. Lineage: Bacteria; Pseudomonadati; Bacteroidota; Bacteroidia; Marinilabiliales; Marinilabiliaceae.
CGGGAUAUAGCUCAGACUUGGUCGAGAGCGACUUAAUAUUAAUUUAUUAAGGAGGUCGGGGGUUCGAAUCCCCCUUUCCCGC